GGGUCUGGCCUUUCGGAGGCCCAAGGCCCUGCCCUACAGAAGGACCCUACCCUACCAGCCUCACCCUCACUUUUCCCACUUGCUUCUGUUUCAGAAAAACAGUUGCUCUCAACUUCUCUAAGAGAUCAGAAGGAACUCUGCUAGGGCACACCAUCGUUGCGUCUUCACGUUAGCAAAACUCCCUCUUCUUCCAGUUCAUUCCCGGGGCUGUAGUACUCCUUAGUUCAGAUCAGCUUGCUUGUAGUGCUCAAACGAAGAUGAGAGGGAGGCCCGAGAUGAAUCUGGGAGACGCAGCAGUGCAGCUUAGAUCUUCGCGUCUGGAUGUCUUAGGAGUAGUUUCAUGGCCAUGAGGCCUUUUGUAUCAGUUGCCUUGGUGGCAACCCUUUUGCAAGACUGUUUAACUUUUAGACUUGUGUUGCCUCUAAGUAAUUCCAGAUGACUGUAAUAGUUACCUCUUCUGCGUUUAUGUUCAUCUGAGUGCUUCUCAUUACUAUAA
Vigna unguiculata (cowpea) is the source of this 496-nucleotide long non-coding RNA. RefSeq lists it as uncharacterized. NCBI's taxonomy places the organism in Eukaryota, Viridiplantae, Streptophyta, Magnoliopsida, Fabales, Fabaceae. The record is from RefSeq and is a predicted model, not a curated record.